UCAGAGGAGAACCACAGCAUCACUCUGGAGUGGACCUUCACCAAGACUCACACAUCGACCGACUCCUUCAUAAACUGUGAUCUGAUCAUGAAGUCCUUGUCCUCUAUCAUGUAUAUAAAGGUGUUGAGCUUCCAGAAUCUCAGGAUGAACAGUUUUCAGGACGAGUCCAGAGUGACAAAGACGUCCUCAGAGAAGGACGAAUCAGACUCCAUGUGUCCAGACUGAGGACCGAAGACUCUGGUCUGUAUCUGUGUGACGUGAAAACUGAAGAUGGAUUCAACUCUGGAAGAUGUCAAGUCAACAUUUCUAAAAUCUUCUCA
This is a long non-coding RNA of Xiphophorus couchianus (Monterrey platyfish), 320 nucleotides long. RefSeq lists it as uncharacterized. The record is from RefSeq and is a predicted model, not a curated record. Lineage: Eukaryota; Metazoa; Chordata; Actinopteri; Cyprinodontiformes; Poeciliidae. The transcript has 3 exons.